GACGAACGCUGGCGGCGUGCCUAAUACAUUCAAGUAGAACGCACAGUUUAUACCGUAGCUUGCUACACCAUAGACUGUGAGUUGCGAACGGGUGAGUAACGCGUAGGUAACCUGCCUGGUAGCGGGGAUAACUAUUGGAAACGAUAGCUAAUACCGCAUAAUAUUGAUUAUUGCAUGAUAAUUGAUUGAAAGAUGCUAUUGCAUCACUACCAGAUGGACCUGCGUUGUAUUAGCUAGUAGGUGAGGUAACGGCUCACCUAGGCGACGAUACAUAGCCGACCUGAGAGGGUGAUCGGCCACACUGGGACUGAGACACGGCCCAGACUCCUACGGGAGGCAGCAGUAGGGAAUCUUCGGCAAUGGACGAAAGUCUGACCGAGCAACGCCGCGUGAGUGAAGAAGGUUUUCGGAUCGUAAAGCUCUGUUGUAAGAGAAGAACGGGUGUGAGAGUGGAAAGUUCACACUGUGACGGUAUCUUACCAGAAAGGGACGGCUAACUACGUG
This 504-nucleotide ribosomal RNA is filed under the name uncultured bacterium. RNAcentral's name for it is "partial 16S ribosomal RNA". It matches the Rfam family "Bacterial small subunit ribosomal RNA", at positions 28 to 507 of the family's 1533-position model. The record is from RNAcentral.